RNAcentral lists this unclassified non-coding RNA (238 nucleotides) under Hevea brasiliensis (rubber tree). The record is from RNAcentral. Lineage: Eukaryota; Viridiplantae; Streptophyta; Magnoliopsida; Malpighiales; Euphorbiaceae.
UAUCAUUGUAGAUUGCAGAAUAUGUUUUUGUACAGUUGUUGUAAAGUGCUCUUAAUCCUCUUGAACUUACGUUUGCGUUUAUAGAUCAAUGGAAGUAAUCUUCCACUUUCAGAACCUUGCUUGUCUUUAGCUUUUUUGUCUAAUGGCAUGAUUGGGAUUUUCCUAUAAUCAGUUGUCUUCGAGACUUAAGAAGUAGUGCGACCUUGGCCCUCAUUGUAACCUGGAACAUUUGAACUAC